AGGCUCAGUAACACGUGGACAACCUACCCUACAGAAGGGGAUAACCCCGGGAAACUGGGGAUAAUACCCUAUAGACUAUGGAUGCUGGAAUGCUCUGUAGCCGAAAGGUCCGCCGCUGUAGGAUGGGUCUGCGGCCGAUUAGGUUGUUGUUGGGGUAACGGCCCAACAAGCCUGUAAUCGGUACGGGUUGUGGGAGCAAGAGCCCGGAGAUGGAUUCUGAGACACGAAUCCAGGCCCUACGGGGCGCAGCAGGCGCGAAAACUUUGCAAUGCGGGAAACCGUGACAAGGGAACUCUGAGUGCCCGUAAAAUCGGGCUGUCCAUUGGUGUAAAAAACCAGUGAAGAAAGGGCCGGGCAAGACCGGUGCCAGCCGCCGCGGUAAUACCGGCGGCUCGAGUGGUGGCCACUAUUACUGGGCUUAAAGCGUUCGUAGCUGGUUUGUUAAGUCUCUGGGGAAAUCUUCCGGCUUAACCGGAAGGCGUCUCAGGGAUACUGGCAGACUAGGGACCGGGAGAGGUGAGAGGUACUCCAGGGGUAGGAGUGAAAUCCUGUAAUCCUUGGGGGACCACCUGUGGCGAAGGCGUCUCACCAGAACGGCUCCGACAGUGAGGGACGAAAGCUGGGGGAGCAAACCGGAUUAGAUACCCGGGUAGUCCCAGCUGUAAACGAUGCGCGUUAGGUGUAUCGGUGACCACGAGUCACCGAGGUGCCGAAGAGAAAUCGUGAAACGUGCCGCCUGGG
RNAcentral lists this ribosomal RNA (741 nucleotides) under uncultured Methanomicrobiaceae archaeon. RNAcentral's name for it is "bacterial SSU rRNA". It matches the Rfam family "Archaeal small subunit ribosomal RNA", at positions 86 to 832 of the family's 1478-position model. Lineage: Archaea; Methanobacteriati; Methanobacteriota; Methanomicrobia; Methanomicrobiales; Methanomicrobiaceae. The record is from RNAcentral.